This 277-nucleotide ribosomal RNA is filed under the name uncultured bacterium. Its description in RNAcentral is "partial 16S ribosomal RNA". It matches the Rfam family "Bacterial small subunit ribosomal RNA", at positions 32 to 299 of the family's 1533-position model. The record is from RNAcentral.
AAUCAACGCUGGCGGCGUGCCUCAGACAUGCAAGUCGAACGAUUAAACUUUCCUUCGGGAAAGAUAUAAAGUGGCGCACGGGUGAGUAACACGUAGGUAAUCUACCUUUGAGUGGGGAAUAACAGUCGGAAACGACUGCUAAUACCGCAUAAUGCAGCGGCACCUUAUGGUGACAGUUGUUAAAGGAGCAAUCCGCUUAAAGAGGAGCCUGCGGCAGAUUAGCUAGUUGGUAAGGUAACGGCUUACCAAGGCAACGAUCUGUAUCCGACCUGAGAGG